This 460-nucleotide ribosomal RNA is filed under the name uncultured bacterium. Its description in RNAcentral is "partial 16S ribosomal RNA". It matches the Rfam family "Bacterial small subunit ribosomal RNA", at positions 338 to 795 of the family's 1533-position model. The record is from RNAcentral.
CCUACGGGAGGCUGCAGUGAGGAAUAUUGGUCAAUGGGCGCGAGCCUGAACCAGCCAAGUCGCGUGAGGGAAGACGGUCCUAUGGAUUGUAAACCUCUUUAGGCGGGGAGCAAUGCCGGUCACGUGUGCCGGGAGGGAGAGUACCCGCAGAAUAAGCAUCGGCUAACUCCGUGCCAGCAGCCGCGGUAAUACGGAGGAUGCGAGCGUUAUCCGGAUUUAUUGGGUUUAAAGGGUGCGUAGGCGGAUUUUUAAGUCAGUGGUAAAAUGGCGGGGCUCAACCCCGGCCGGCCGUUGAAACUGGGGAUCUUGAGUGGGAGAGAAGUAUGCGGAAUGCGUGGUGUAGCGGUGAAAUGCAUAGAUAUCACGCAGAACCCCGAUUGCGAAGGCAGCAUACCGGCUUCCGACUGACGCUGAGGCACGAAAGCGUGGGGAUCGAACAGGAUUAGAUACCCCGGUAGUC